CAUCCCCAAGGCUUUAGAAGACAUCAGGAUAUUUCCCUGAUGUAAUGCCUGUAGAUGGAGUGGUACCUUGUUAUUCUCUAGCUGUUAUGGUCAGUUUCUGAGAAUUUCUGGUUCACAAGAAGUGCUUGCCGUCAGGAUAGCACCAUCAGGUGCUAUCAGCAGUUUACUUUCUGAUGUAUCUUUAUGUGUGUCUUGGAGUGACUGUAUGAUGCCUGUGUCCCCAGAUCGUCUCUUCUGACCAAACCAAGACACAUAAAUAUCGGGUAGUCUGCCAGGUAUUCUCUAAGCCAGCACAAGGUGACUGCUCUUGCAGAGACUUGCCAUGCUUUAUUACAAAGGAUGGUUCUUCUCCAUCUCUCUGUUACCUCCCUCAAUUUGAAACACGUCAUAAAUUCUGAAAUCCAUACUGGCCCUUUCCUGGUUUCAGUGGCACAACAUGGAAGUAGAGUCAUUCAGGCAUGGUCUGUAAUAGUGCCUCCCAUCUGACAUCCUGCCCACCCAUCCUCUCCCUGCUCCCAC
This is a non-coding RNA of Sturnus vulgaris (Common starling), 519 nucleotides long. Lineage: Eukaryota; Metazoa; Chordata; Aves; Passeriformes; Sturnidae. The record is from RefSeq and is a predicted model, not a curated record.